AGUGAACGCUGGCGGCGUGCCUAAUACAUGCAAGUCGAACGAUGAAGUCCUAGCUUGCUAGGAUGGAUUAGUGGCGCACGGGUGAGUAAUAUAUAGUUAAUCUGCCCUACACAGAGGAACAACAGUUGGAAACGGCUGCUAAUACCUCAUUCUCCUAUUUGACAUAAGUUAAAUAGGGAAAGUCUUUUCGGUGUAGGAUGAGACUAUAUCGUAUCAGCUAGUUGGUAAGGUAAUGGCUUACCAAGGCUAUGACGCGUAACUGGUCUGAGAGGAUGAUCAGUCACAUUGGAAAUGAGACACGGUCCAAACUCCUACGGGAGGCAGCAGUAAGGAAUAUUGCGCAAUGGGGGAAACCCUGACGCAGCAACGCCGCGUGGAGGAUGACACUUUUCGGAGCGUAAACUCCUUUUAUCAGGAAAGAAUAAUGACGGUACCUGAUGAAUAAGCACCGGCUAACUCCGUG
RNAcentral lists this ribosomal RNA (463 nucleotides) under uncultured bacterium. RNAcentral describes it as "partial 16S ribosomal RNA". It matches the Rfam family "Bacterial small subunit ribosomal RNA", at positions 29 to 507 of the family's 1533-position model. The record is from RNAcentral.